RNAcentral lists this ribosomal RNA (253 nucleotides) under uncultured bacterium. RNAcentral describes it as "partial 16S ribosomal RNA". It matches the Rfam family "Bacterial small subunit ribosomal RNA", at positions 524 to 776 of the family's 1533-position model. The record is from RNAcentral.
UACGGAGGGGGCUAGCGUUGUUCGGAAUUACUGGGCGUAAAGCGCGCGUAGGCGGCUUUGCAAGUUAGAGGUGAAAGCCCGGGGCUCAACCCCGGAAUUGCCUUUAAGACUGCAUCGCUAGAAUCCAGGAGAGGUGAGUGGAAUUCCGAGUGUAGAGGUGAAAUUCGUAGAUAUUCGGAAGAACACCAGUGGCGAAGGCGGCUCACUGGACUGGUAUUGACGCUGAGGUGCGAAAGCGUGGGGAGCAAACAGG